Molecule: ribosomal RNA, 253 nt
Filed under: uncultured bacterium
Lineage: Bacteria
Description: partial 16S ribosomal RNA
Rfam family: Bacterial small subunit ribosomal RNA
Source: RNAcentral
GACGAACCUUGCUAACGUUAUUCGGAAUUACUGGGCUUAAAGGGCUCGUAGGCGGCCAACUAAGUCAGACGUGAAAUCCCUCGGCUUAACCGGGGAACUGCGUCUGAUACUGGAUGGCUUGAAUCCGGGAGAGGGAUGCGGAAUUCCAGGUGUAGCGGUGAAAUGCGUAGAUAUCUGGAGGAACACCGGUGGCGAAGGCGGCAUCCUGGACCGGCAUUGACGCUGAGGAGCGAAAGCCAGGGGAGCAAACGGG